Molecule: ribosomal RNA, 141 nt
Filed under: uncultured bacterium
Lineage: Bacteria
Description: partial 16S rRNA
Rfam family: Bacterial small subunit ribosomal RNA
Source: RNAcentral
UGGGGAAUUUUCCGCAGUGGGCGAAAGCCUGACAGAGCAAUGCCGCGUGGAGGUGGAAGGCCUACGGGUUGUCAACUUCUUUUCUCAGAGAAGAAACAAUGACAGUAUCUGAGGAAUAAGCAUCGUCUAACUCUGUGCCAG